GUGUUGUACGAAAGGAAAUAAGCUUAGCACUCCCCUUGAUAAGGAUGGAAAGGGUCCUAGUGGUCUUUACAACACACAUAUGGCUAAGGAAUUGCCACCUACUCUGUGGCAUCUUACCAUGUUUUUUU
Monodelphis domestica (gray short-tailed opossum) is the source of this 128-nucleotide small nuclear RNA. The record is from Ensembl. Lineage: Eukaryota; Metazoa; Chordata; Mammalia; Didelphimorphia; Didelphidae.